GUCUAUAGUUAGACCACCCAGAAUGCACUGGACUCACCUAAUCUCAGAAGCUAAGCAGUGGCCAGGCCUUGUUAGUAUUUUGAUACAAGAGGCAUUGACU
Molecule: ribosomal RNA, 100 nt
Filed under: Mesocricetus auratus (golden hamster)
Lineage: Eukaryota; Metazoa; Chordata; Mammalia; Rodentia; Cricetidae
Source: RNAcentral